This is a long non-coding RNA of Oncorhynchus tshawytscha (Chinook salmon), 263 nucleotides long. NCBI's taxonomy places the organism in Eukaryota, Metazoa, Chordata, Actinopteri, Salmoniformes, Salmonidae. The record is from Ensembl.
GUUGCUGGUUGUGCAGUGUGAUGGAGGUUGUGUGUUGCUGGUUGUGCAGUGUGAUGGAGGUUGUGUGUUGCUGGUUGUACAGUCUGAUGGAGGUUGUGUUGCUGGUUGUACAGUCUGAUGGAGGUUGUGUUGCUGGUUGUACAGUCUGAUGGAGGUUGUGUUGCUGGUUGUACUCUCUGAUGGAGGUUGUUGGGGUUGUGUUGCUGGUUGUACAGUCUGAUGGAGGUUGUGUGUUGCUGGUUGUACAGUCUGAUGGAGGUUGU